UACGGAGGGGGCUAGCGUUGUUCGGAAUUACUGGGCGUAAAGCGCGCGUAGGCGGACCUGCAAGUCGGGGGUGAAAGCCCGAGGCUCAACCUCGGAACUGCCUUCGAUACUGCGGGUCUCGAGUCCGGUAGGGGAGUGUGGAAUACCUGGUGGAGCGGUGAAAUGCGCAGAUAUCAGGUGGAACACCCGUAGCGAAGGCGGCACUCUGGGCCGGAACUGACGCUGAGGAGCGAAAGCGUGGGGAGCGAACAGG
This 253-nucleotide ribosomal RNA is filed under the name uncultured bacterium. Its description in RNAcentral is "partial 16S ribosomal RNA". It matches the Rfam family "Bacterial small subunit ribosomal RNA", at positions 524 to 776 of the family's 1533-position model. The record is from RNAcentral.